This 1038-nucleotide unclassified non-coding RNA is filed under the name Hevea brasiliensis (rubber tree). Lineage: Eukaryota; Viridiplantae; Streptophyta; Magnoliopsida; Malpighiales; Euphorbiaceae. The record is from RNAcentral.
GGGAGACUGUCAUAGGAAUCAAAAUGGGAUAUAGGGUGUUUUGUACAAGUCCUGACUCCUUUUCUAAAAGCAAUAGGAAGAUCAAGAUUAUUAUCAGGUGAAUCAGGGUGAGAGUGAGAAUUGGAAGGGGACUCACAACAUACCUCUUUAGGAAUAGGAUGUUCAAGAGCCAAAUCCAGAGAUUUUGACUGAUAAAGCGUAUCAUGCUUAAUGACUGUAUCUGUAUUUUCACAAGUAUAAGUUCUUAAAUCCACCCUAUUUAGUCUCUCUUUGGGCUAAGGAGUAACUAGUGGGUCCUUAUCCUAAAUACUCAGAUUAGGUUCAAGUCUAAUAAUCUCCCCCUGAAAAGGUAUAGGUGUAGGGCGAGUAAACUCUUCCUUCUUAUUCUUCCCUUGAAGAGGAGACUGGAAAUAAGGUUCAGAUUCUCUAAAGGUGAUAUACAUGCUGACAAACUAUUUUCUUGAAGGAGGAUGAUAAUACUUAUACCCCUUUUGAGUUCCAGAACAACCUACAAACACAAAUUUCACAGCUCUAGGUUCUAAUUUUCCAAUAUGUGACUUAUGAACAAAACAAACACAACCAAAGACUUUUAGAGGAAUAGUAUAAGAAUUCUUACCCUGAAGAGCUUCUAAAGAACUCUUAGAGUUCAUGGGAGUCAUCAAAAUUCCAAAAUUAUAAGUUUUUCUAUGUUCUCUCUCUCUCUUCUUUCCCUCUAAUUCUUCCUUCUUUUUCUAGAUAUUUUUUCCUUCUUUCCCUCUAUAUUCCUUAUUUUCAUUUCUGCAGACCCUGUUCUUUCUUCUUCUUUUUCUUUCUUGAAAUUCUUGAAAUUUUCCCCUGUUCUUGAAGUUCUUCCUAUUUUCUUGAUUAUCCCUCAAAAUUUCCUUUCCCUGAGUUUCUAUUCUGCUUUCCAACAAUCAGAGUUCUAACUUUCUUUAUUUUCUUUGCUUUCUUGAAGUUCUUCACGUGAGGCCUUUGAUUCCAAAGGUUUGCAAGAUGUCUAAGAGUGUAGUGAUAAGUCAAGAAGCUGUUAGAAUGGAU